GAUGAACGCUGGCGGCGUGCCUAAUACAUGCAAGUCGAGCAAACAGACGAGGAGCUUGCUCCUCUGACGUUAGCGGCGGACGGGUGAGUAACACGUGGAUAACCUACCUAUAAGACUGGGAUAACUUCGGGAAACCGGAGCUAAUACCGGAUAAUAUAUUGAACCGCAUGGUUCAAUAGUGAAAGACGGUUUUGCUGUCACUUAUAGAUGGAUCCGCGCCGCAUUAGCUAGUUGGUAAGGUAACGGCUUACCAAGGCAACGAUGCGUAGCCGACCUGAGAGGGUGAUCGGCCACACUGGAACUGAGACACGGUCCAGACUCCUACGGGAGGCAGCAGUAGGGAAUCUUCCGCAAUGGGCGAAAGCUUGACGGAGCAACGCCGCGUGAGUGAUGAAGGUCUUCGGAUCGUAAAACUCUGUUAUUAGGGAAGAACAAAUGUGUAAGUAACUAUGCACGUCUUGACGGUACCUAAUCAGAAAGCCACGGCUAACUACGUG
Molecule: ribosomal RNA, 497 nt
Filed under: uncultured bacterium
Lineage: Bacteria
Description: partial 16S ribosomal RNA
Rfam family: Bacterial small subunit ribosomal RNA
Source: RNAcentral